This 253-nucleotide ribosomal RNA is filed under the name uncultured bacterium. RNAcentral describes it as "partial 16S ribosomal RNA". It matches the Rfam family "Bacterial small subunit ribosomal RNA", at positions 524 to 776 of the family's 1533-position model. The record is from RNAcentral.
GACAGAGGGUGCAAACGUUGUUCGGAAUUACUGGGCGUAAAGCGCGUGUAGGCUGCUCGGAAAGUCGGAUGUGAAAGCCCUGGGCUCAACCUAGGAAGUGCAUUCGAAACUUCCGAGCUGGAGUACUGGAGAGGAAGGCGGAAUUCUCGGUGUAGAGGUGAAAUGCGUAGAUAUCUGGAGGAACACCGGUGGCGAAGGCGGCAUCCUGGACCAACACUGACGCUGAGGAGCGAAAGCCAGGGGAGCAAACGGG